RNAcentral lists this ribosomal RNA (305 nucleotides) under uncultured bacterium. RNAcentral's name for it is "bacterial SSU rRNA". It matches the Rfam family "Bacterial small subunit ribosomal RNA", at positions 334 to 637 of the family's 1533-position model. The record is from RNAcentral.
UUGACCUACGGGGCGCAGCAGUGAGGAAUAUUGGUCAAUGGACGAGAGUCUGAACCAGCCAAGUAGCGUGAAGGAUGACUGCCCUAUGGGUUGUAAACUUCUUUUAUAUGGGAAUAAAAUGUUCCACGUGUGGGAUUUUGUAUGUACCAUAUGAAUAAGGAUCGGCUAACUCCGUGCCAGCAGCCGCGGUAAUACGGUGGAUGCGAGCGUUAUCCGGAUUUAUUGGGUUUAAAGGGUGCGUAGGCGGAUUUUUAAGUCAGCGGUAAAAUGUCCGGGCUCAACCCGGGCCGGCCGUUGAAACUGGG